This 417-nucleotide ribosomal RNA is filed under the name uncultured bacterium. RNAcentral's name for it is "bacterial SSU rRNA". It matches the Rfam family "Bacterial small subunit ribosomal RNA", at positions 358 to 772 of the family's 1533-position model. The record is from RNAcentral.
GGAAUAUUGGUCAAUGGACGCAAGUCUGAACCAGCCAUGCCGCGUGGAGGAUGAAGGCCCUCUGGGUUGUAAACUUCUUUUAUCUGGGAAGAAAUCGGACUUUUCUAAGGCCGUUGACGGUACCAGGUGAAUAAGCACCGGCUCACUCCGUGCCAGCAGCCGCGGUAAUACGGAGGGUGCAAGCGUUAUCCGGAUUCACUGGGUUUAAAGGGUGCGUAGGUGGGUUGGUAAGUCAGUGGUGAAAUCUCCAAGCUUAACUUGGAAACUGCCGUUGAUACUAUCAAUCUUGAAUAUCGCGUAGGUAAGCGGAAUAUGUCAUGUAGCGGUGAAAUGCUUAGAUAUGACAUAGAACACCAAUUGCGAAGGCAGCUUACUUCACGAUCAUUGACACUGAGGCACGAAAGCGUGGGGAGCAAA